UGGGGAAUAUUGGACAAUGGGCGCAAGCCUGAUCCAGCCAUGCCGCGUGAGUGAUGAAGGCCCUAGGGUUGUAAAGCUCUUUCACCGGUGAAGAUAAUGACGGUAACCGGAGAAGAAGCCCCGGCUAACUUCGUGCCAGCAGCCGCGGUAAUACGAAGGGGGCUAGCGUUGUUCGGAUUUACUGGGCGUAAAGCUCACGUAGGCGGACUUUUAAGUCAGGGGUGAAAUCACGGGGCUCAACCCCGGAACUGCCAUUGAUACUGGAAGUCUUGAGUAUGGUAGAGGUGAGUGGAAUUCCGAGUGUAGAGGUGAAAUUCGUAGAUAUUCGGAGGAACACCAGUGGUGAAGGCGGCUCACUGGACCAUUACUGACGCUGAGGUGCGAAAGCGUGGGGAGCAAACAGG
This 404-nucleotide ribosomal RNA is filed under the name Actinomycetes bacterium. RNAcentral's name for it is "Actinobacteria bacterium partial 16S ribosomal RNA". It matches the Rfam family "Bacterial small subunit ribosomal RNA", at positions 355 to 776 of the family's 1533-position model. Lineage: Bacteria; Bacillati; Actinomycetota; Actinomycetes. The record is from RNAcentral.